GCCUGGGUAGCUCAGUCGGUUGAGCAUGUGACUCUUAAUUUCAGCUCAAAUCACAAUCUCACACUUCAUGGGUUCCAACCCUGUAUCAGGCU
Molecule: transfer RNA, 92 nt
Filed under: Felis catus (domestic cat)
Lineage: Eukaryota; Metazoa; Chordata; Mammalia; Carnivora; Felidae
Also listed under: 2 other names
Rfam family: tRNA
About the family: Transfer RNA (tRNA) molecules are approximately 80 nucleotides in length.
Source: Rfam by way of RNAcentral